CCUACGGGAGGCUGCAGUGAGGAAUAUUGGUCAAUGGACGAGAGUCUGAACCAGCCAAGUAGCGUGAAGGAUGACUGCCCUAUGGGUUGUAAACUUCUUUUAUAUGGGAAUAAAAUGUUCCACGUGUGGGUUUUUGUAUGUACCAUAUGAAUAAGGAUCGGCUAACUCCGUGCCAGCAGCCGCGGUAAUACGGUGGUUCCGAGCGUUAUCCGGAUUUAUUGGGUUUAAAGGGAGCGUAGGUGGAUUGUUAAGUCAGUUGUGAAAGUUUGCGGCUCAACCGUAAAAUUGCAGUUGAAACUGGCAGUCUUGAGUACAGUAGAGGUGGGCGGAAUUCGUGGUGUAGCGGUGAAAUGCUUAGAUAUCACGAAGAACUCCGAUUGCGAAGGCAGCUCACUGGACUGCAACUGACACUGAGGCUCGAAAGUGUGGGUAUCAAACAGGAUUAGAUACCCCAGUAGUC
RNAcentral lists this ribosomal RNA (460 nucleotides) under uncultured bacterium. Its description in RNAcentral is "partial 16S ribosomal RNA". It matches the Rfam family "Bacterial small subunit ribosomal RNA", at positions 338 to 795 of the family's 1533-position model. The record is from RNAcentral.